GAGCAAUUCCUGCAGAGUGAAGUGGCUGAAAACCAGACUGCUGAGUGUCAGAGAGGGAGGAGAGCAUCUGAGCAACCCUAACACCCAGCAUCAAUUGACUUUUGGUGAUGGUGGUGUCAAACGGAUCAGAGGUGACCAAGCUUCCUUCUUCUGAGGGCAGACUGCCAGUACCAAAGUGGUGUUGCUAUGGAGAAUUCCAAGUACAGUGUUGGACAAUCACGGCCUUUUAACCUCUGCCAUGGACAGUAACUACAGCCAGCAUGUCGUCCAUGCUUUAACCAAGAAACGGGCAUAGCAUGGAAAGCAGUGCUCCAUUGGAAGGUGAAAAGCCAUCACCUUCAAGAGGAGGAAGGCAACGACAAGAUCAACCACAGUCCAGGAUGGUUGUGUUAAAGCCAUGUUGUCCCUGCUCCAAUGUCCUGGAGUCUAUGGGCUGGAGGCAACGCUUUAAGAGUUUUAACAAAUGUGGAAUUGCAAUGUUUGGACGUCUGGAGGUCUAUAUCCUAUGUACCACAUGGUACAAAAUGUGCUGG
Molecule: long non-coding RNA, 533 nt
Filed under: Gallus gallus (chicken)
Lineage: Eukaryota; Metazoa; Chordata; Aves; Galliformes; Phasianidae
Description: lncRNA (ENSGALG00010015658.1)
Source: RNAcentral